UACGGAAGGCAGCAGUGGGGAAUAUUGCACAAUGGGCGCAAGCCUGAUGCAGCCAUGCCGCGUGUAUGAAGAAGGCCUUCGGGUUGUAAAGUACUUUCAGCGGGGAGGAAGGCGAUGCGGUUAAUAACCGCGUCGAUUGACGUUACCCGCAGAAGAAGCACCGGCUAACUCCGUGCCAGCAGCCGCGGUAAUACGGAGGGUGCAAGCGUUAAUCGGAAUUACUGGGCGUAAAGCGCACGCAGGCGGUCUGUUAAGUCAGAUGUGAAAUCCCCGGGCUUAACCUGGGAACUGCAUUUUGAACUGGCAGGCUUGAGUCUUGUAGAGGGGGUAGAAUUCCAGGUGUAGCGGUGAAAUGCGUAGAGAUCUGGAGGAAUACCGGUGGCGAAGGCGGCCCCUGGGACAAAGCUGACGCUCAGGUGCGAAAGCGUGGGGAGCAAACAGGGAUUAGGAUACC
This 454-nucleotide ribosomal RNA is filed under the name uncultured bacterium. RNAcentral describes it as "bacterial SSU rRNA". It matches the Rfam family "Bacterial small subunit ribosomal RNA", at positions 340 to 786 of the family's 1533-position model. The record is from RNAcentral.